AUGGGGGGCACCUGGAGCAUCUCAGCUGGGGUCCUCAGCCCUCCUCUCCCUGGCACCCCCAACUUAGCAAGACCCCCGCACACGCUGUAUUCCCCACAGGCACCCGGACUGUUAUUUAUUUGUACAGAGAAAGGUUUAUUUUUCAAUAAAGAAGGGCUCUAUUUUCCAGUAGAUUUUUUUUUUACCCUCCCCAUCACCUCACACCCCCAAGCAAUGCCCCCCUCUUCAGGCCCUGCCUCCCAUUACCAGGGGGAGGACCCCAGCAAGGUCAGGAACCCCUGCCCACCUCAGCACCCUUUUCCCCAGAGCGCAGCACCGGUGCCCACCCCAGCUGCCACCCCACACGAAAACCCCCCUCCCAGGGGACAUGCCCCCGGUGGGUGCCAACACCUCCAGCUUGUGGGGCAACAUGCGUGCUGCCCUCAAGCAGCAUCCCUGGGGCCGCCAAGCCGUGGGGAAGGGACUGCUCCUCCCAGCGCCGGGGUGACGAGGUGGCACCGUGGGGUGGCGAGGCCAGCUGUGCCUGCCCGUCUCCCUUCUCCGAGCACGGGGGUGCCGGAAACAAGGGGGCCGCGGCGGGUAUCCGGUGCCGGCAGCCUUCCCCCUCGGCACCUGGCACCGUCCAUCCCGGUGGCCGGACAUCCGCCGGGCCGGGCCAGGCGGGGAGGUGGCGAGGAGCUGGCACGGCGCGAAAGCACCGCGGGCACCGCAUGGGGGACCUGCCGCUGUGGCUGGCCCUGCUUGGGGCGCUGGUGGUGUCGGGUGAGCGGGGCCGUGGGUCUGGGGGAUUGGGGUGCAGGGGGUUCCUGGGCCCCCACGAUGGGGUUGGGGCUGGGGGGUGAUGGUGGCAGGGUCCAAGCUGGGUAUGUGUGUCCCCACGGCUGCGUUUUGGGCACCACCGGCAGGGACCUGUCACUGAGCAUCCCCUGUGCCUCCCUACCCGGAGCUGUGUCCUCACCGUGUGUGUGUCCAUCUGUCUGUGUGCACUGUGUCACUGUAUCUGUGUCCCUGCAUGUGUGCAGGUGUCUGUGGGUGUGUGUGCACGCUGCUGCUGCCUCCGUGCACGUGUCUGUGUGCCCCUGUGUGUGCCUGUCUGUGUGCACAGCAGCUCUGCAUCCCUGA
This 1122-nucleotide long non-coding RNA is filed under the name Anser cygnoides (Swan goose). RNAcentral describes it as "lncRNA (ENSACDG00005014781.1)". The record is from RNAcentral. Lineage: Eukaryota; Metazoa; Chordata; Aves; Anseriformes; Anatidae.